GGUUCCUUAGCUCAGUUGGUUAGAGCGUGGUGCUAAUAAGGCUCUGCUGCCUGUCAACGCCAAGGUCGAGGGUUCGACCCCCUUAGGGACCA
RNAcentral lists this transfer RNA (92 nucleotides) under Sphaerulina musiva SO2202. It matches the Rfam family "tRNA". Rfam says of the family: Transfer RNA (tRNA) molecules are approximately 80 nucleotides in length. Their secondary structure includes four short double-helical elements and three loops (D, anti-codon, and T loops). Further hydrogen bonds mediate the characteristic L-shaped molecular structure. tRNAs have two regions of fundamental functional importance: the anti-codon, which is responsible for specific mRNA codon recognition, and the 3' end, to which the tRNAs corresponding amino acid is attached (by aminoacyl-tRNA synthetases). tRNAs cope with the degeneracy of the genetic code in two manners: having more than one tRNA (with a specific anti-codon) for a particular amino acid; and 'wobble' base-pairing, i.e. permitting non-standard base-pairing at the 3rd anti-codon position. Lineage: Eukaryota; Fungi; Ascomycota; Dothideomycetes; Mycosphaerellales; Mycosphaerellaceae. The record is from Rfam by way of RNAcentral.